This 304-nucleotide small nuclear RNA is filed under the name Erinaceus europaeus (western European hedgehog). RNAcentral's name for it is "7SK RNA". It matches the Rfam family "7SK RNA", at positions 1 to 269 of the family's 331-position model. Rfam says of the family: 7SK was discovered as an abundant small nuclear RNA in the mid-70s but a possible function has only recently been suggested. Two independent studies have found that 7SK RNA binds the CDK9/cyclin T complex (known as elongation factor P-TEFb). Lineage: Eukaryota; Metazoa; Chordata; Mammalia; Eulipotyphla; Erinaceidae. The record is from Rfam by way of RNAcentral.
GGAUGUGAGAGCUAUCUGGCUGCGACAUCUGUCACCUCAUUGAUUGCCAGGGUUGGUUCAGCUGAUCUGGCAGGCUAAGUGGAUGUCCCCCUUCCUCCCUCACUGCCUCAUGUGGGUCUCUGCCUAAGCAGUCUGCUUCACUGAACAGGCCAGCCCUCACAGAAUAGAAAUGGCUGGUCUUUGGUUGAGGGUAGCAGCACUCCCCUGCUAAAACCUCCAACAGUUCUCAAAAAAGAAAACCAAUGGUUACCAGAAAUGGUGGGAGUAAUAUAGAUUCUGACAACUAGUAGUAAGCCAAGUGGUU